Molecule: non-coding RNA, 1822 nt
Filed under: Pongo abelii (Sumatran orangutan)
Lineage: Eukaryota; Metazoa; Chordata; Mammalia; Primates; Hominidae
Source: RNAcentral
GUGCGAGGCCCCAGACUGAGGGCGAAACAGCAGGCAGGACUGGGUGGAGACGUUCGGGGAUGUGGCAACUGGAGUUUCUUCUCCGUAUAUUUCGGCAUUCAGUUCCUUUUUUUUUUUUUUAACUCAGGAAAAAAUGUCAAUUGCGUUUAGUAUUUUGAAAGCCACUUUAUUGCUUCCUGAGCCUCAGUCAUGUGUGGUGGGAGGCUGCUGUGGGUGGCACCUGGGGCGUCCACGGCCGCCAAGGCGGGGGUACGUCAGGCCCUGCUUGGUCCCACCCCUUCCAGGUGCCUGUUUGAGAGCUCCCGGGCACGCCCGUCCUUGGCUCUUCGUCCUCUUGGUUUUCUUCCCUGUUGCUUCAAAUCAGGUUCCUGUCUCAAAAAUCCGAAAAAGAAAUCCUCCCAAAUGACUCUGUGCCCGACGCUCCGUUAAGGCAUCGUGCUAGGUGUUCUCAAACUCGUGAAACGACUACACUGCACAGGUUAACCUCAUUGCUUCUCUUCCCCUUGCCUCCUAAUUCUCUGGUUAAACUUCCGCCCCCGAGGUUUCUAGAAAUCCUUGAGCUAGAAUGCGCUGCCUUCAUUAAGAGGGUGUUCUGCUUCCGUCUGCUCACAUUCAUCUAGUAAGCCCUCUCGUUAAAGAGGAGGCAGCGCACCGAGGCCUGUCUAGAUCUUUCAUUCAACCAAUAGUGAAUGUCUAAUCUACAAGAAACUGGAGCCGUGGCAGUUUAGGAGCCUGCCAAGGUUGCAUCCCUGGGAGCUUAUUUUCUUUUGUGGGAGACAGGAAAAGAACAAGUGAAUCAACUGUGAAAUUAAAUAAUUCAAACUUAAAGCUGUUAGAACUUUAAAUUAUUCUGAGCCUUGCGAAGAAUGUGGCUAUGGGGCCUGAGUCCCAUGGCAUACAGCUGCAAUGUCUGCCUUGUUUUUUCCUAUCAUCAGGAAGACCAAACAGAGACAGAGAUAAACACUCAGCAGGCCAGUGCCCCCUCCAUACAUGUGGUAGAAAAAGGUCAAGCAGUGUUUUCCAGAGACUCCUCGCAGAGGCCUGGACAAGAGGCGUGCUUUUUGUCCAUACACCAUAUGGGAGGCCUCAAUGUACAUGUAGUAGCCUUGAGGUGAAUGCAAAAGCAGGUGCACACACCAAGAAAGGCCAUGUGGGCACACAGCAAGAUGGUGCGUGUCUGCAAACUAGGAAAAGAGCCCUCACCAGGAACUGAAACAGCUGGCACCUUGAAGUUGGACUUUCCAGCCUCCACAAUUGUGAGAGUUUUGGAGGCUGGUAAGUCCGAGAUCAAGGUGCCAACAAGUUUGCUUGUCUAACAAGGGCUGCAUCUUCCAGAGGGGAGGAACGCUAUGUCUUCACAUGGUGGAUGGCAUAAAGGCAAGAGAGUCGAAUGCUGCAUGAAACCUCUUUUACAAAUACCUCAAUCCCAUUCACAAGGGAGGAGCCCUCAUUGCCUAAUCAUCGCCUGUUGAGGGUCCUGUCUCUUAAUUCUGUUACACUGGCCAUUAAGUUUCAACACCCGAAAUUUGGAGGAGACACAUUCAAAUCAUAGCAGCAGGUCACUGAUUGUUAUCUUUAUUUCACAUAUGAGGAAACUGAGGCUCAGCAAAGUCAUGUAAUUAUUCCCCAGGUUAUGCAGGCAGCAAAUGGCAGAGGCAGCUCAUUGUUUGGUCUUUCCACACCAUUCUGUACUCUAGAAUUUGGAAAGGUUUAUUGCAUCACCAGUUAGUAAGUCAGGAGCUAUAGCUCCCUUGGAAUUGCUACAUAUGAUGAUGUAUUGAUUCUGAUAGACACAAAACAAACUGACAUAUUUAUAGUGUGA